GAUGAACGCUGGCGGCGUGCCUAAUACAUGCAAGUCGAGCGAACGGACGAGAAGCUUGCUCCUCUGACGUUAGCGGCGGACGGGUGAGUAACACGUGGAUAACCUACCUAUAAGACUGGGAUAACUUCGGGAAACCGGAGCUAAUACCGGAUAAUAUUUUGAACCGCAUGGUUCAAAAGUGAAAGACGGUCUUGCUGUCACUUAUAGAUGGAUCCGCGCUGCAUUAGCUAGUUGGUAAGGUAACGGCUUACCAAGGCAACGAUGCAUAGCCGACCUGAGAGGGUGAUCGGCCACACUGGAACUGAGACACGGUCCAGACUCCUACGGGAGGCAGCAGUAGGGAAUCUUCCGCAAUGGGCGAAAGCCUGACGGAGCAACGCCGCGUGAGUGAUGAAGGUCUUCGGAUCGUAAAACUCUGUUAUUAGGGAAGAACAUAUGUGUGAGUAACUGUGCACAUCUUGACGGUACCUAAUCAGAAAGCCACGGCUAACUACGUG
RNAcentral lists this ribosomal RNA (497 nucleotides) under uncultured bacterium. Its description in RNAcentral is "partial 16S ribosomal RNA". It matches the Rfam family "Bacterial small subunit ribosomal RNA", at positions 28 to 507 of the family's 1533-position model. The record is from RNAcentral.